RNAcentral lists this non-coding RNA (25 nucleotides) under Drosophila erecta. Lineage: Eukaryota; Metazoa; Arthropoda; Insecta; Diptera; Drosophilidae. RNAcentral also lists the same sequence under 8 other names. The record is from RNAcentral.
UGCCUUCCAAGCAGUUGACCCGGGU